AGAGUUUGAUCAUGGCUCAGGAUAAACGCUGGCGGCGCACAUAAGACAUGCGAGUCGAACGAACUUAACCAUUAGUUUACUAUUGGAGCGGUUAGUGGCGGACUGGUGAGUAACACGUAAGCAACCUGCCUAUCAGAGGGGAACAACAGUUAGAAAUGACUGCUAAUACCGCAUAUGCCUUAGAAUCACAUGGUUCAAAAGGGAGAGGAGCAAUCCACUGAUAGAUGGGCUUGCGU
This 236-nucleotide ribosomal RNA is filed under the name uncultured bacterium. RNAcentral's name for it is "partial 16S ribosomal RNA". It matches the Rfam family "Bacterial small subunit ribosomal RNA", at positions 8 to 236 of the family's 1533-position model. The record is from RNAcentral.